This 703-nucleotide long non-coding RNA is filed under the name Androctonus crassicauda. The record is from RNAcentral. Lineage: Eukaryota; Metazoa; Arthropoda; Arachnida; Scorpiones; Buthidae.
AUUCGUAAAAUGGAAUAAAUAUAGGUUUAUUUUAAUUUUGCAAUAAUAUAAUUAGUAAUUUUUGCACACAUCUAAUUAAUAGAUUGAGAAGUAUGUUUAAGAUAUGAUUAAUGUUUAGAAAUAAAAACCAGCACAGUUAUAUUCUAUGUAGUGUUCAGUUUUUUGAAAAUCAAAGGAAUCUUGAAAAUAAAUAGAAUAUAUAGGCAAUCCCCAACUUAAUAGAUCCAAUAUAUGUAGAUUUAUACUUAUGUAAAGAUUCACUGAUUAAAACAAAAAUAUACUGAUCAUAGUGAAUAAAGCUAUAAUAUAGAAUAUGAGCAUUUUUUCACCUAACUUCAUCAGUUAUCAUAUAAAGUGGCUAUCAGAGAGGGGCAAGAGGGGCUGCUACCCCAGGCCUUACAAUUUUGGAGGCCUCAAUUUAUAACUCACUAUGUUAGAAAUAUAUAUUUGUAUAUUUUUAUACUGUUUCAGUAUUUGUCAAAAUUUGAAAUUCUCUCUCAAUAUUUUCACUUUUCUUAUAUAUACCUUACCACUAUACUGUAUAUAUAUAUAUCAAUUUUAUCUUUUUUUUUUUUUUGGUAUCCUUAUAAAUAGUAGUUGCCCUGAGCCUUGCAUUUUCUCAGAAAGUCCCUGAUUAUAUAUAUAUAUAUGUAUGUAUGUAUUUUAUAAGCUUAUUAGAUUAGUUUUAAUUAACAAGCUGUGC